Molecule: non-coding RNA, 21 nt
Filed under: Arabidopsis thaliana (thale cress)
Lineage: Eukaryota; Viridiplantae; Streptophyta; Magnoliopsida; Brassicales; Brassicaceae
Source: RNAcentral
UUGGGUAAUUUGCGCGCCUGC